UACAGAGGUCUCAAGCGUUGUUCGGAUUCAUUGGGCGUAAAGGGUGCGUAGGCGGCGCGGUAAGUCGGGUGUGAAAUCUUGGAGCUUAACUCCGAAACUGCAUUCGAUACUGCCGUGCUUGAGGACUGGAGAGGAGACUGGAAUUUACGGUGUAGCGGUGAAAUGCGUAGAUAUCUGGAGGAACACCGGUGGCGAAGGCGGCAUUCUGGACCGACAUUGACGCUGAGGAGCGAAAGCCAGGGGAGCAAACAGG
This 253-nucleotide ribosomal RNA is filed under the name uncultured bacterium. Its description in RNAcentral is "partial 16S ribosomal RNA". It matches the Rfam family "Bacterial small subunit ribosomal RNA", at positions 524 to 776 of the family's 1533-position model. The record is from RNAcentral.